UACGUAGGUGGCAAGCGUUGUCCGGAUUUACUGGGCGUAAAGAGCGCGCAGGCGGUCGUUCAAGUCGCGUGUGAAAGCCCCCGGCUCAACUGGGAGGGUCACGCGAUACUGAUCGACUGGAAGGCAGGAGAGGGUAGUGGAAUUCCCGGUGUAGUGGUGAAAUGCGUAGAUAUCGGGAGGAACACCAGUGGCGAAGGCAGCUCUCUGGACGGUACUGACGCUGAGACGCGAAAGCGUGGGGAGCGAACAGG
RNAcentral lists this ribosomal RNA (251 nucleotides) under uncultured bacterium. Its description in RNAcentral is "partial 16S ribosomal RNA". It matches the Rfam family "Bacterial small subunit ribosomal RNA", at positions 524 to 776 of the family's 1533-position model. The record is from RNAcentral.